RNAcentral lists this ribosomal RNA (474 nucleotides) under uncultured bacterium. RNAcentral's name for it is "SSU rRNA". It matches the Rfam family "Bacterial small subunit ribosomal RNA", at positions 26 to 518 of the family's 1533-position model. The record is from RNAcentral.
AGGACGAACGCUGGCGGCGUGCUUAACACAUGCAAGUCGAGUGGAAAGGCCCUUCGGGGUACUCGAGCGGCGAACGGGUGAGUAACACGUGAGCAACCUGCCCUUAGCUCUGGGAUAGCUCCGGGAAACCGGAAUUAAUACCGGAUACGACCUAGGCCGACAUCGGCCAUGGUGGAAAGUUUUUCGGCUAGGGAUGGACUCGCGGCCUAUCAGCUAGUUGGUGGGGUAAAGGCCUACCAAGGCGACGACGGGUAGCCGGCCUGAGAGGGCGACCGGCCACACUGGGACUGAGACACGGCCCAGACUCCUACGGGAGGCAGCAGUGGGGAAUCUUGCGCAAUGGGCGAAAGCCUGACGCAGCGACGCCGCGUGGGGGAUGAAGGCCUUCGGGUUGUAAACCCCUUUCAGCAGGGACGAAGCGAAAGUGACGGUACCUGCAGAAGAAGCGCCGGCUAACUACGCGCCAGCAGCCGC